Molecule: non-coding RNA, 414 nt
Organism: Ictidomys tridecemlineatus (thirteen-lined ground squirrel)
Lineage: Eukaryota; Metazoa; Chordata; Mammalia; Rodentia; Sciuridae
Source: RefSeq, a predicted model, not a curated record
CAAAAUUCUCCAACGUGUGCAUCAGGUUGUUAAGUGAAGCAGUAGGAUACAUUCUCCCAGUUCUUAGACAAGGUUAAACCCUCCUGAAAAUACUCAGAAGAUUAAAGGUACCAAGAAUUGUUUCCAACUCAAUGGAUAAAUGAAUAUAAAACUUACAAGACACAUGCUCUUGUAAUUCCUUUUAAAUUUUGAAAAAGGGAAGAAGAGUUGAAGAAGUUGGAGUGACUCAUAAAAUAUGUCAAUGAUGCAGUCAAAUAAACAGGACCACCUCAUCUCUUUCUGUUGUUUAUCAGGAUCAACGAUAUUUGAAAUCACUACUGUGUUGUGCUGCAUAUUUGGGAGUGAGGGAACCAAAUUAAGGUAUCCUUGGUUCAUUGUGGUUAAAUUGCUAUUUUAAUAAAAUAUUGAAACUCA